CCUACGGGCGGCAGCAGUAGGGAAUCUUCCACAAUGGGCGAAAGCCUGAUGGAGCAACGCCGCGUGGGUGAAGAAGGUCUUCGGAUCGUAAAACCCUGUUGUUAGAGAAGAAAGUGCGUGAGAGUAACUGUUCACGUUUCGACGGUAUCUAACCAGAAAGCCACGGCUAACUACGUGCCAGCAGCCGCGGUAAUACGUGGGUGGCAAGCGUUAUCCGGAUUUAUUGGGCGUAAAGGGAACGCAGGCGGUCUUUUAAGUCUGAUUGGAAAGCCUUCGGCUUAACCGGAGUAGUGCAUUGGAAACUGGGAGACUUGAGUGCAGAAGAGGAGAGUGGAACUCCAUGUGUAGCGGUGAAAUGCGUAGAUAUAUGGAAGAACACCAGUGGCGAAAGCGGCUCUCUGGUCUGUAACUGACGCUGAGGUUCGAAAGCGUGGGUAGCAAACAGGAUUAGAUACCCGAGUAGUC
RNAcentral lists this ribosomal RNA (465 nucleotides) under uncultured bacterium. RNAcentral's name for it is "partial 16S ribosomal RNA". It matches the Rfam family "Bacterial small subunit ribosomal RNA", at positions 338 to 795 of the family's 1533-position model. The record is from RNAcentral.